CCCUACGGGGUGCAGCAGGCGCGAAAACUCCGCAAUGCGCGAAAGCGUGACGGGGUCACCCCGAGUGUCACCUGCUGAAGGUAACUUUUCCUCAGUCUAAUCAGCUGGGGGUAAUAAGGGGAGGGCAAGUCUGGUGUCAGCCGCCGCGGUAAUACCAGCUCCCCGAGUGGUGAGGACGAUUAUUGGGCCUAAAGCGUCCGUAGCCGGCUUGGUAAGUUUCCCGUUAAAUCCGACGAUUCAAUCGUUGGGCUGCGGGAAAUACUGUUAAGCUAGGAGGCGGGAGAGGCCGGCGGUACUUUUGGGGUAGGGGUGAAAUCCUAUAACCCCAAGAGGACCACCAGUGGCGAAGGCGGCCGGCCAGAACGCACUCGACGGUGAGGAAUUGGCGGGGGAGCAC
Molecule: ribosomal RNA, 397 nt
Filed under: uncultured archaeon
Lineage: Archaea
Description: bacterial SSU rRNA
Rfam family: Archaeal small subunit ribosomal RNA
Source: RNAcentral